GUAAAUUGAAUAGAGGUAGAGAGGAGGCCAGAAAGGCAAGGAAUGAGAAAGUGCAGGGACUUAGUUGAUGAGGCAAUGAGGGAAGAAAAAAAUAAGAACAAGGUUAGUGACUAGACUAAUGAACUGGGAAUGAAAUUAAAAAGUAGAAAUACAGGUUAGUUUACAUUUUAGAAAUCCGUGGUGAACCUGCCCAGAAGCAGAAUCGUCCUGGCAAGACUAGUUAUCUGUCAGCUCUGAGGGAUCAAACACUGAGAUAAUGAGCUGAGCUGAGCUAAGACUGCAGCUACUAAUCAUAUUUUUGUUGGCCAGAAAUAAUGUUGGAAAGAUUUCACUUGUCUCUUCUGGUGCUUUAAUGAUGGCAGAAUAGGUGCUGUAGCAUAAUGACUUUCCAGAAAGAGUUCUCUCCACCGGGUAUAAAAAUUAGAAUAAAAAGAUUUAUGAAUUAAUGAGAGCUUUGAGCAUCAUGGUUCUUUCCACAGGUCGCACCUGGCUCCCAGUACCAUUUUUUACAUUUGUGAUCUGUUUCUUUUCUGCUGGUGCUCUCUCCUCCUCCUCUUUUUUUAGUAACUUAUCAUUCCCAGUGAGAGGAGCAGCUUUUGAUACAGCUGUCAAGUUGCCUUUCCCCAUCAAGCAUUGGACAGACUCAUGGCCGUUGUGAUCAAUCAAGUGACACCUUCACCAGAAUCCUCUCCUGGCAAUCAAAAAGCUUGUCUCACAUUCCACAACAAAACAAGGCAAAUUGUAUUAUACAAGUGCAUCAAGGCGACAGAACAGAGUGCAGGAUACAGUGCUACAACUUGUUAUGUAGUAGUUAAGUAUUAUUUAAGACUUCUGACCUCUGUGGAAGAACUAUAAUGGACAUUGAUCCUGCUGCACAUCCCGUUGACUUUGUGCUUAAAGUACAAAUGGGCUGGCAGGUAUGCCAGAAAUCUCAUCGGCUUGAGAUCCCAAGAGCAAAGGAUUGAGCCAGUCACAGCCUAGGAUGAAGAAGCUUGUUGGUCAACAAACACCCUUUGGGAUUUUGCUGGAACUGGUAUCAUUAUAGCUUGGAAGUGGGUUAAGUGUCUUCUUCCUAAUCAUGAUGCAAUGUCUCUCCAGUAAGUGGAAAUUGUCUCUGAUUUUGGGAUCUUCAAGUUCAGGCUGUUUUCCAGCUUCACAGACCAGUGAGAAUUAACGAGGGCUGAUAUCGAAGGACGCACCAAAGCACACAUGGUCCAUGACAGGAAUGAAAAAGGCCGUUGCUCACUGUUAAUGUUGGUGUAAACUUGCUGGAAGCUAUGUACAAGGGAUCUCUGGGGUAUAAGGUAGAUGGAGGCACAUGACUCAAACACAGAAACAUGAAACAAACAACCUGGUUCAGAAAAACAAUUCACAGCUUCUAUUUCAGCAAGACCCAGCAGCUCAGGUUACCAAUGGCACAUUUUAAUCCCCAAGGAGAUUGUUAUAUGUUUCACAAAAUGGGGAGAACUUAUCAGCUUUUGUACUCCACAUUUUUACUCUUCCUGUACCCUAAGUAGUGUGAACUUCCUUGUGUUUUCAAGACUCUGAAAGAGUCUCUGAGUUUAGAACACCAUCCAAGCUGACAUCAUCAGGAGGCUUGGCAUGCACUAAAAUGAGAAGCUAAUACAGUAAUAAUUGGGAAUUAGAGCAUUAGGUCCUGCUGUAAGAAUAAGUUCUAUAGCAACUUUCAACUGAAUAAUGCACUCAUGAAAAUACCUUCAUCUCAAUGUCUAACUUCCUUUCUAAACUAUGCAAUUUAUGUUUUCCAAUCAGAAGGUUAUAAAACAAUGUAGUAUGAGACUUAACGGUGCAAUUAUUUCAGCUCUGUUAAAAUCUCCCUCAGGCUGAUUUGAAAACAUCGCCUCUUCUGAGGUUCUUCUUAAAGCUAAGGCCCUUGAGCACAGAUUUGGCCAUAUGUCCCCAUGUCCCUGAAUUGUUCAUGUUCCUGCCCAGUGCACUGGGUGCCGCGCUGUGCAAUCGAGUUGUUGGUUAUUUUUCUUCUUUAUGACUGUUGCUGGGACACUGACAUCAUAUGCUGCAACAACCUUCGCUUAUCAAUUAAGAAUAAUUAUAAUGGA
This is a long non-coding RNA of Stegostoma tigrinum, 2078 nucleotides long. RefSeq lists it as uncharacterized. The transcript has 4 exons. NCBI's taxonomy places the organism in Eukaryota, Metazoa, Chordata, Chondrichthyes, Orectolobiformes, Stegostomatidae. The record is from RefSeq and is a predicted model, not a curated record.